GCCCACGUGGUGAAAUUGGUAGACACGUACGUUUGAGGGGCGUAUUCCGUAAGGUGUGCUGGUUCGAGUCCAGUCGUGGGCA
RNAcentral lists this transfer RNA (82 nucleotides) under Chryseolinea sp. Its description in RNAcentral is "tRNA-Leu". It matches the Rfam family "tRNA". From Rfam's summary of the family: Transfer RNA (tRNA) molecules are approximately 80 nucleotides in length. The record is from RNAcentral. Lineage: Bacteria; Pseudomonadati; Bacteroidota; Cytophagia; Cytophagales; Fulvivirgaceae. RNAcentral also lists the same sequence under 3 other names.